RNAcentral lists this ribosomal RNA (432 nucleotides) under uncultured bacterium. RNAcentral describes it as "partial 16S ribosomal RNA". It matches the Rfam family "Bacterial small subunit ribosomal RNA", at positions 29 to 507 of the family's 1533-position model. The record is from RNAcentral.
ACGAACGCUGGCGGCAUGCCUAACCCAUGCAAGUCGCACGAGACCUUCGGGUCUAGUGGCGCACGGGUGCGUAACGCGUGGGAACCUGCCCUUAGGUUCGGAAUAACUCCCCGAAAGGGGUGCUAAUACCGGAUAAUGUCUUCGGACCAAAGAUUUAUCGCCUUUGGAUGGGCCCGCGUUGGAUUAGCUAGUUGGUAGGGUAAAAGCCUACCAAGGCGACGAUCCAUAGCUGGUCUGAGAGGAUGAUCAGCCACACUGGGACUCAGACACGGCCCAGACUCCUACGGGAGGCAGCAGUGGGGAAUAUUGGACAAUGGGCGAAAGCCUGAUCCAGCAAUGCCGCGUGAGUGAUGAAGGCCUUAGGGUUGUAAAGCUCUUUUACCCGGGAUGAUAAUGACAGUACCGGGAGAAUAAGCUCCGGCUAACUCCGUG